UCCCUGGAGGACUAGUGGUUAGGUCAUGGCACUCUCACCCCUGUGGUCCGUGUUCAAUUCCCAGCCAGGGCA
This is a non-coding RNA of Pangasianodon gigas (Mekong giant catfish), 72 nucleotides long. Lineage: Eukaryota; Metazoa; Chordata; Actinopteri; Siluriformes; Pangasiidae. The record is from the annotation of a GenBank genome assembly.